GCCCUGCUAGCUCAGUGGUAGAGCGUCGCACUCGUAUCUCCAUCUCCCCGCCGCGUGAUUGCAAUGGGAGAUAACUACGAUGCGAAGGUCAGUCGUUCAAGUCGGCUGUGGGGCA
Molecule: transfer RNA, 115 nt
Filed under: Schizophyllum commune Tattone D
Lineage: Eukaryota; Fungi; Basidiomycota; Agaricomycetes; Agaricales; Schizophyllaceae
Description: tRNA-Thr
Rfam family: tRNA
About the family: Transfer RNA (tRNA) molecules are approximately 80 nucleotides in length. Their secondary structure includes four short double-helical elements and three loops (D, anti-codon, and T loops).
Source: RNAcentral